CUUGGUCAUUUAGAGGAAGUAAAAGUCGUAACAAGGUUUCCGUAGGUGAACCUGCGGAAGGAUCAUUAGUGAUUGCCAUCUUGGCUUAAACUAUAUCCAUCUACACCUGUGAACCGUUUGAUUGAAUCUUCUGAUUCAAUUUUACAAACAUUGUGUAAUGAACGUCAUUAGAUCAUAACAAAAAAAAACUUUUAACAACGGAUCUCUUGGCUCUCGCAUCGAUGAAGAACGCAGCGAAAUGCGAUAAGUAAUGUGAAUUGCAGAAUUCAGUGAAUCAUCGAAUCUUUGAACGCAACUUGCGCUCUCUGGUAUUCCGGAGAGCAUGCCUGUUUGAGUGUCAUGAAAUCUCAACCAUUAGGGUUUCUUAAUGGCUUGGAUUUGGAGGUUGCCAUUCUAAAUGGCUCCUCUUAAAGGAGUUAGCAAGUUUUACUAUUGCUAUCUGGCGUAAUAAGUUUCGCUGGAAUGGUAUUGUGAAGCGUGCUUCUAAUCGUCUUCGGACAAUUACUUUGACUCUGGCCUCAAAUCAGGUAGGACUACCCGCUGAACUUAAGCAUAUCAAUAAGCGGAGGAAAAGAAACUAACAAGGAUUCCCUUAGUAACGGCGAGUGAACCGGGAAGAGCUCAAAUUUGUAAUCUGGCUGUCUUCGAUAGUCCGAGUUGUAAUCUAUAGAAGCGUUUUCCGUGCUGAACUGUGUAUAAGUCCCUUGGAACAGGGUAUCAAAGAGGGUGACAAUCCCGUACUUUACACAACCAUCAGUGCUCUGUGAUACGUUCUCUACGAGUCGAGUUGUUUGGGAAUGCAGCUCAAAAUGGGUGGUAAAUUCCAUCUAAAGCUAAAUAUUGGCGAGAGACCGAUAGCGAACAAGUACCGUGAGGGAAAGAUGAAAAGCACUUUGGAAAGAGAGUUAAACAGUACGUGAAAUUGUUAAAAGGGAAACGCUUGAAGU
RNAcentral lists this ribosomal RNA (947 nucleotides) under uncultured Basidiomycota. Its description in RNAcentral is "eukaryotic LSU rRNA". The stretch from base 514 to 947 matches the Rfam family "Eukaryotic large subunit ribosomal RNA", at positions 1 to 429 of the family's 3401-position model. Lineage: Eukaryota; Fungi; Basidiomycota. The record is from RNAcentral.